RNAcentral lists this ribosomal RNA (565 nucleotides) under uncultured bacterium. Its description in RNAcentral is "bacterial SSU rRNA". It matches the Rfam family "Bacterial small subunit ribosomal RNA", at positions 240 to 803 of the family's 1533-position model. The record is from RNAcentral.
AUUAGCUAGUUGGUGGUGCAACGGACCACCAAGGCGACGAUCGGUAGGGGGCCUGAGAGGGUGGCCCCCCACACUGGCACUGAGAUACGGGCCAGACUCCUACGGGAGGCAGCAGUAGGGAAUAUUGGUCAAUGGGCGAAAGCCUGAACCAGCCAUGCCGCGUGCAGGAUGAAGGCCUUCUGGGUUGUAAACUGCUUUUGCCAGGGAAGAAAAAGGCGCCGAGGCGCCAAUUGACGGUACCUGGAGAAUAAGCACCGGCUAACUCCGUGCCAGCAGCCGCGGUAAUACGGAGGGUGCGAGCGUUGUCCGGAUUUAUUGGGUUUAAAGGGUGCGUAGGCGUCCCUGCAAGUUUCUGGUGAAAUCCCCGGGCUCAACCCGGGAACUGCCGGGAAAACUGCCGGGAUUGAGUACGGUCGGGGUAGGCGGAAUUUAUGGUGUAGCGGUGAAAUGCAUAGAUACCAUAAAGAACACCGAUAGCGUAGGCAGCUUACUAGGCCGUAACUGACGCUGAGGCACGAAAGCGUGGGGAGCGAACAGGAUUAGAUACCCUGGUAGUCCACGCCGU